RNAcentral lists this unclassified non-coding RNA (2295 nucleotides) under Hevea brasiliensis (rubber tree). The record is from RNAcentral. Lineage: Eukaryota; Viridiplantae; Streptophyta; Magnoliopsida; Malpighiales; Euphorbiaceae.
GUAAACAAUCUAAGAAACAUCCUUAAAUUUCCAAAAACACAAAUUUUUUUUUUUUUUUGGUUCACCUUGUCAAAGUCUCAUCGAAAUCAAACUUGCUCCAUCAAACACAUUGUCAUUUUGGUUCUUUGAAGUGCCAUGUGUCAGUUAUAAUACACAAGCAAAGCCAAAUUUCAAAAAAGUAGUAUUAAAACUUUGUACAAAUUAUAAUAGAUGGAAGAAGAGAAAUUUAAUUACAACAAACUAUUAAAAGUUUAAGAGUAUAUUAUAGAGCUAGUAUAAAAGAAGAUAGUUGAGGAAUAAAAAUACGAAUAAAAGGCACUCAAUGAGAGACAUUUAUAAAGACAUGAUAGAUAGGAUGCACAAGUGAGAUCAAACCAAGCACUAGAGUUCUAAUGAAAGAAGCUUCAACUUUGAAUUGCAUCUCCGGAAUUUUGCUCAUCUUCUAAUUGGUUUCCACCUUUCAAUGGAAUAUGGGACUCCCUGUAAGUGACAGUUUGCAAGGAUUUCCAUGGUACACGUCCACCCACUUGAACACGGGCAAUUGCUUCCGUAGUAGGGUUCCAAACCAGCAGCUGCCCACCCAAAUCUGAAAAAAAUAGCUCACCAUUCCUUGAAAAUCCCAAUGGCAAGCACGGGCGCAUAACCUCAGGGUAUGCUAUGGUAAAUAAUUUAGUCCAAGACUCUUUAACACCAUAUUCAAGCAAUACCCACAACUCAACAUGAUAAGGAACAUGGAGGGGCAGAGCAACAUACUCAUUCAAGGAAAAAAUUGACUCAAAAGAAUCGACAGGAUCUGGUAGACCUGUUGUUUUGAUAACCUCAUUGCACAAGUCGAAAGAAACAAUUACAUCUUCAGGACUAUGGUAUCUUGUCCUCCAAUGAAAUGUACCAUUUGCACCCGUAUGGCCUCUAUGAUCAUUAAAAAAGCCAUCACAAUAUUUAUAAGAAGGCAAAAUCCAAGCAUUCAAAGUGACAUCAACUUUUCUCCAUGUAUCAUCCCUUAGGCUAUAUAUCUCCACCAGGUAAUCCCAUUGGGAAUCAAGAGAUGAAUAUUCGAAAAUCCUGAGAACUUUGCAAUCACUAGUUCUUGGGUCAAAUCCGAAUUCUACUAUUUCCAAUGAAAUAGAAUGAUGAGGAGGACGCGGAACGUUCGAUUCAGGUAGGAUCUUAGUUUCUGUGGUUGUAGGGUUCCAUAGAACGAUGUUACUUUCAGAGUCAUAAAUAUCAUCCCAUAAUCCUAGCAAAUCCUCAACGUAAUAUACAUCACGGAGACAAAUUAAACCAUUACAGCAAGAACCCACAAUGUCAAUAAAUGAACAUUUUUCAAUUAUAUCCUUUGGAUAUGGUAUCUCCUGAGGAGCAGACAAAUCGAAUGUAUCAGAGGAGAGGAAGGAAAAAGCAUAAUCCUCAAAAUCCUCAGCGUUAUAAUCCUCAAAUUUGACAAGGACACGGGGAUUGGCAUUCAAAUCUUCAGAAUCAGAAUCAGAGAGUAGGUUUUUAUAUAUAAAAUUUGGAUCAGAAAAGAUAGCACACCAAGAUUUACAAACGCACCUGAAUCUGAAGAGACAAAUGACAGGUAAUCUGAAUCAGAUGUUGAUACCAAAUCUUUGGGCAGAACCAUGGUAGAUAGCUAGAAGAAGAGAGAAUUUUAGAAGAAUUCCCACGUCUCACUGGAUAUAUAAAUUGAGACGCAUGAACUCUUAGCCACUAAGACAUCUUCCAGUUGUAUACGAAUUGUUUUUCUACCAAUUCUAUCAGAGGCUGCCAUAUUCGUCCGCCUAAAAGAAAAGCAUAUGUGGCACCCAAAGGAAAAUAAAAAUAAUCAAAUAUCUAAAUUAGCUCGAGCCAAAACGCAUCGUUUCAAUUCCAGUGCUGAUUUGAUCUAAGCGAUGUGGUGGCAGGAUUGGAUGCAGAUCGUUGUGACUAGAAGUAAGAGUCUGGAAUGUGUACCCGUCCAUAAUAGAUAUCACAAGAUAGCUGCUUGUGAAGUAGCCGAGACGUCCAAAUCUCGCGCAUGAAGAAGCGAGAGGAAGCUGUAGCGGAGAAGGAGGUUUUGAAAGAGAAGGUGAGAAUAUCUGCGGAAUUGGUUAAAGCACAGAGAUGAGAUUGGGAAGCAAUUUAAUGAUGGGGACGGAUGCAAUCAGAGAUUGAAAGCUGCAAGCAUUUGCUAGUGACCGGAAUUUAGAACAUAUUCUGCAAAAGUGGUAAAGAAUUUAGGUGAAAUCUGCCAAAACGCACCGUUAUCUUUGUUUGGAUUGAGGGAGACGAAGGGAAAGAAAAGAAAAGAAAAGAAAA